Molecule: ribosomal RNA, 131 nt
Filed under: uncultured bacterium
Lineage: Bacteria
Description: partial 16S ribosomal RNA
Rfam family: Bacterial small subunit ribosomal RNA
Source: RNAcentral
CGCGGUGAAUACGUUCCCGGGCCUUGUACGCACCGCCCGUCAAGCCAUGGAAGUUGGGGGUACCCAAAGUCGCCUUUAAUAAGCGCCUAAGGUAAAACCAAUGACUGGGGCUAAGUCGUAACAAGGUACCC